Molecule: non-coding RNA, 26 nt
Filed under: Cricetulus griseus (Chinese hamster)
Lineage: Eukaryota; Metazoa; Chordata; Mammalia; Rodentia; Cricetidae
Source: RNAcentral
UACAGCUUGUCCACUGUCUGCAUGUU